RNAcentral lists this ribosomal RNA (273 nucleotides) under uncultured bacterium. RNAcentral's name for it is "partial 16S ribosomal RNA". It matches the Rfam family "Archaeal small subunit ribosomal RNA", at positions 474 to 747 of the family's 1478-position model. The record is from RNAcentral.
AACCAGCACCUCAAGUGGUCAGGAUGAUUAUUGGGCCUAAAGCAUCCGUAGCCGGCUCUGUAAGUUUUCGGUUAAAUCUGUACGCUCAACGUACAGGCUGCUGGGAAUACUGCAGAGCUAGGGAGUGGGAGAGAUAGACGGUACUCGGGAGGAAGUGGUAAAAUGCUUUGAUCUCUCGAUGACCACCUGUGGCGAAGGCGGUCUAUCAGAACACGUCCGACGGUGAGGGAUGAAAGCUGGGGGAGCAAACCGGAUUAGAAACCCGAGUAGUCC